RNAcentral lists this ribosomal RNA (253 nucleotides) under uncultured bacterium. RNAcentral's name for it is "partial 16S ribosomal RNA". It matches the Rfam family "Bacterial small subunit ribosomal RNA", at positions 524 to 776 of the family's 1533-position model. The record is from RNAcentral.
UACAGAGGUCUCAAGCGUUGUUCGGAAUUACUGGGCGUAAAGGGCUCGUAGGUGGCCAACUAAGUCAGACGUGAAAUCCCUCAGCUUAACUGGGGAACUGCGUCUGAUACUGGAUGGCUUGAGUUUGGGAGAGGGAUGCGGAAUUCCAGGUGUAGCGGUGAAAUGCGUAGAUAUCUGGAGGAACACCGGUGGCGAAGGCGGCAUCCUGGACCGGUAUUGACGCUGAGGCGCGAAAGCCAGGGGAGCAAACGGG